Molecule: ribosomal RNA, 472 nt
Filed under: uncultured bacterium
Lineage: Bacteria
Description: partial 16S ribosomal RNA
Rfam family: Bacterial small subunit ribosomal RNA
Source: RNAcentral
GACGAACGCUGGCGGCGUGCUUAACACAUGCAAGUCGAACGCUGAAGCUUGGUGCUUGCACUGGGUGGAUGAGUGGCGAACGGGUGAGUAAUACGUGAGUAACCUGCCCUUGACUCUGGGAUAAGCCUGGGAAACUGGGUCUAAUACUGGAUACGACAUGUCACCGCAUGGUGGUGUGUGGAAAGGGGUUUACUGGUUUUGGAUGGGCUCACGGCCUAUGAGCUUGUUGGGGGGGUAAUGGCUCACCAAGGCGACGACGGGUAGCCGGCCUGAGAGGGUGACCGGCCACACUGGGACUGAGACACGGCCCAGACUCCUACGGGAGGCAGCAGUGGGGAAUAUUGCACAAUGGGCGAAAGCCUGAUGCAGCGACGCCGCGUGAGGGAUGACGGCCUUCGGGUUGUAAACCUCUUUCAGCACGGAAGAAGCGAAAGUGACGGUACGUGCAGAAGAAGCGCCGGCUAACUACGUG